GCCCUCGUAGCUCAGGGGACAGAGCAAGCGCCUCCUAAGCGCUAGGUCGGUGGUUCGAAUCCUCCCGGGGGCACCA
RNAcentral lists this transfer RNA (76 nucleotides) under Dehalococcoidia bacterium. RNAcentral describes it as "tRNA-Arg". It matches the Rfam family "tRNA". Rfam says of the family: Transfer RNA (tRNA) molecules are approximately 80 nucleotides in length. Lineage: Bacteria; Bacillati; Chloroflexota; Dehalococcoidia. The record is from RNAcentral.